RNAcentral lists this transfer RNA (65 nucleotides) under Chiroteuthis picteti. RNAcentral describes it as "tRNA-Thr". It matches the Rfam family "tRNA". From Rfam's summary of the family: Transfer RNA (tRNA) molecules are approximately 80 nucleotides in length. Their secondary structure includes four short double-helical elements and three loops (D, anti-codon, and T loops). Lineage: Eukaryota; Metazoa; Mollusca; Cephalopoda; Oegopsida; Chiroteuthidae. The record is from RNAcentral.
GUUAUAAUAGUUUAAUAUAAAACCUUGGUCUUGUAAACCAAAAUUAGAUAGAAAUCUUUAUAACU